CACUAUUAUCACCUAAAAUCUGCUGAGAUCUUAUUACAGUUAUACAAUUAUAUAAUUAGCAGACUUUAACCAAGUCAAAUUUGAUGGUCCCAACCCAGAACAUAUUUAGUGACUGAGAUAUUGUGUAUUUUUUAUUUUCUGACAAACAAAAUUCAAAAAAAGGAAAAUCUUACAGGCAGUGAGAGAAGGACUCGCAGCUUUGGGCCCAACGGCUCAGACUUGAGAGGAGAGUGGGAGGGAAAAAAUGCUUGCUAAGCUAUCCGUUUCACACAUGCAGGGACAGAAGGUUCGAUAUUCAUUCGAUCGAUGAAUGAAAAGGCACAAUGGCAAAAUCGGACAGGCUCCUUUUCAAAUCCACGUCUCCGAUGUCCCCCCGCCACCCCUUCCACAGUCUGCAGUGGCUGAGCGGCCGGUGUGGCAGGCAGAGAGAGAAAGAGAGAGAGGAGAGCAAGGGUUACAUCAAGGCUGCUCCCUGGACCGUGCAAACAAGUCUAGACCAGUGACCUGUUCAAUGGCUCCUUUUGAGGUGUGGGGCAAGUUCGGUCAGAGCGAGGAGAAAGGCACGGCACUGCCUCUUUUCAGCACCCGAGCAGCUCACAGCCCUGCGAUCGACAGGAGAGGCAAACUAAAAGUCAGUCCAGCUGAAAAUCAACCAUUUCCCAGAAAAAGUUGUUUCUGUGACGGAGCCCCACGGCAGUUCACUGUCCUCUCUUUGGGCUCAGAGCAGUGAGACGAGUGAGUCAGUGGAAGUGUCAGAGCACCAAAACAGACGGACACCCCACAUAAUUAGCCUGGAGUC
This 799-nucleotide long non-coding RNA is filed under the name Gouania willdenowi (blunt-snouted clingfish). RNAcentral describes it as "lncRNA (ENSGWIG00000010640.1)". The record is from RNAcentral. Lineage: Eukaryota; Metazoa; Chordata; Actinopteri; Blenniiformes; Gobiesocidae.